RNAcentral lists this ribosomal RNA (451 nucleotides) under uncultured bacterium. RNAcentral describes it as "bacterial SSU rRNA". It matches the Rfam family "Bacterial small subunit ribosomal RNA", at positions 329 to 794 of the family's 1533-position model. The record is from RNAcentral.
GGCCAGACUCCUACGGGAGGCAGCAGUGGGGAAUAUUGCACAAUGGGCGAAAGCCUGAUGCAGCAACGCCGCGUGAAGGAAGAAGGGUUUCGGCUCGUAAACUUCUCUCGACAGGGACGAAAGAAAUGACGGUACCUGAAUAAGAAGCCCCGGCUAACUACGUGCCAGCAGCCGCGGUAAUACGUAGGGGGCCAGCGUUAUCCGGAUUUACUGGGUGUAAAGGGAGCGUAGACGGCAUGGCAAGUCAGAUGUGAAAGCCCGGGGCUCAACCCCGGGACUGCAUUUGAAACUGUCAGGCUGGAGUGCAGGAGAGGUAAGUGGAAUUCCUAGUGUAGCGGUGAAAUGCGUAGAUAUUAGGAGGAACACCAGUGGCGAAGGCGGCUUACUGGACUGUAACUGACGUUGAGGCGCGAAAGCGUGGGGAGCAAACAGGAUUAGAUACCCGCGUACC